UGCAGAAUCCCGUGAACCAUCGAGUCUUUGAACGCAAGUUGCGCCCGAAGCCAUUAGGUGGAGGGCACGCCUGCCUGGGUGUCA
RNAcentral lists this ribosomal RNA (84 nucleotides) under Pueraria candollei. RNAcentral's name for it is "partial 5.8S ribosomal RNA". It matches the Rfam family "5.8S ribosomal RNA", at positions 73 to 154 of the family's 154-position model. From Rfam's summary of the family: 5.8S ribosomal RNA (5.8S rRNA) is a component of the large subunit of the eukaryotic ribosome. It is transcribed by RNA polymerase I as part of the 45S precursor that also contains 18S and 28S rRNA. Functionally, it is thought that 5.8S rRNA may be involved in ribosome translocation. The record is from RNAcentral. Lineage: Eukaryota; Viridiplantae; Streptophyta; Magnoliopsida; Fabales; Fabaceae.